CAUAUUUGCAGGAUAUUUGAUUGUGUGAUAGAAUAUUUUGUUUCUGUAGAGGGGCUAUGGCGAUAAACGCUAUACAGGAUAGGUGAUACGGACCCGGGGGCAGAACCCGGCACCUCCACCAUAUUUGGGGGUGAGUAGCUUCGACGUCCAUCGAAGGGUAUAGUUUUCGCUC
This 172-nucleotide transfer-messenger RNA is filed under the name Holosporales bacterium. RNAcentral describes it as "partial transfer-messenger RNA". It matches the Rfam family "Alphaproteobacteria transfer-messenger RNA", at positions 1 to 194 of the family's 355-position model. From Rfam's summary of the family: Bacterial tmRNA, also known as 10Sa RNA or SsrA, is named for its dual tRNA and mRNA-like properties. The record is from RNAcentral. Lineage: Bacteria; Pseudomonadati; Pseudomonadota; Alphaproteobacteria; Holosporales.